This 1439-nucleotide ribosomal RNA is filed under the name Synechococcus sp. ACT9802. Its description in RNAcentral is "bacterial SSU rRNA". It matches the Rfam family "Bacterial small subunit ribosomal RNA". The record is from RNAcentral. Lineage: Bacteria; Bacillati; Cyanobacteriota; Cyanophyceae; Synechococcales; Synechococcaceae.
AUGAACGCUGGCGGCGUGCUUAACACAUGCAAGUCGAACGAGCCUUCGGGCUAGUGGCGGACGGGUGAGUAACGCGUGGGAAUCUGCCCUCAGGAGGGGGAUAACGGCCGGAAACGGCCGCUAAUACCCCAUAUGCCGAGAGGUGAAAUGAAUUUCGCCUGAGGAUGAGCCCGCGUCUGAUUAGCUAGUUGGUGGGGUAAUGGCCCACCAAGGCGACGAUCAGUAGCUGGUCUGAGAGGAUGAUCAGCCACACUGGGACUGAGACACGGCCCAGACUCCUACGGGAGGCAGCAGUGGGGAAUUUUCCGCAAUGGGCGAAAGCCUGACGGAGCAACGCCGCGUGAGGGAUGAAGGCCUCUGGGCUGUAAACCUCUUUUCUCAAGGAAGAAGACAUGACGGUACUUGAGGAAUAAGCCACGGCUAAUUCCGUGCCAGCAGCCGCGGUAAUACGGGAGUGGCAAGCGUUAUCCGGAAUUAUUGGGCGUAAAGCGUCCGCAGGCGGCCUUGUAAGUCUGUCGUUAAAGCGUGGAGCUUAACUCCAUUUCAGCGAUGGAAACUACAAGGCUUGAGUGUGGUAGGGGCAGAGGGAAUUCCCGGUGUAGCGGUGAAAUGCGUAGAUAUCGGGAAGAACACCAGUGGCGAAGGCGCUCUGCUGGGCCAUAACUGACGCUCAUGGACGAAAGCCAGGGGAGCGAAAGGGAUUAGAUACCCCUGUAGUCCUGGCCGUAAACGAUGAACACUAGGUGUCGGGGGAAUCGACCCCCUCGGUGUCGUAGCUAACGCGUUAAGUGUUCCGCCUGGGGAGUACGCACGCAAGUGUGAAACUCAAAGGAAUUGACGGGGGCCCGCACAAGCGGUGGAGUAUGUGGUUUAAUUCGAUGCAACGCGAAGAACCUUACCAGGGUUUGACAUCCUGCGAAUCCCUUGGAAACGAGGGAGUGCCUUCGGGAGCGCAGAGACAGGUGGUGCAUGGCUGUCGUCAGCUCGUGUCGUGAGAUGUUGGGUUAAGUCCCGCAACGAGCGCAACCCACGUCUUUAGUUGCCAGCAUUCAGUUGGGCACUCUAGAGAGACCGCCGGUGAUAAACCGGAGGAAGGUGUGGAUGACGUCAAGUCAUCAUGCCCCUUACAUCCUGGGCUACACACGUACUACAAUGCUACGGACAAAGGGUUGCAAGCUCGCGAGAGUUAGCUAAUCCCAUAAACCGUGGCUCAGUUCAGAUCGUAGGCUGCAACUCGCCUACGUGAAGGAGGAAUCGCUAGUAAUCGCAGGUCAGCAUACUGCGGUGAAUACGUUCCCGGGCCUUGUACACACCGCCCGUCACACCAUGGAAGUUGGCCAUGCCCGAAGUCGUUACUCCAACCCUUGUGGAGGAGGACGCCGAAGGUGGGGCUGAUGACUGGGGUGAAGUCGUAACAAGGUAGCCGUACCGGAAGGUGC